Molecule: long non-coding RNA, 1245 nt
Organism: Oxyura jamaicensis (ruddy duck)
Lineage: Eukaryota; Metazoa; Chordata; Aves; Anseriformes; Anatidae
Exons: 3
Source: RefSeq, a predicted model, not a curated record
GUGGGCAAAGGUCCCUCUCAGGAGAGACAUGAAAGCAUCCAGUCAUGGCUUGAUAAGAUUGCUCACCCCGUGGAACAGUUCAGAGGAUCGGGGAGCUGCAAGCAAUGAGAGACAUGGAAUCCUUGUCUGCGUGGUGACUGUACUUAAGGUUUUGUUGGUGCUCGUUUGCUGUGUCUGUUUGAACAUCUGGAUGGAAUCUUCACAUCACAGGAGGCAGACCCAGAGCCCAGCCUCUGAUUUCCCUCUGAUCCUUGAAGCCUCCUGCCUCACCUCCCCGAGCUCCCCAACAGGGAGGAGUAGCAGAGUCUCUUCCCUGAUGGCAGUCCUAAGACCUGCGAGACAAGAAGCUCAAGGUUUCAGUGUUUAAGCAGUCAGAAGAUUUGAGCAUCUGGAAGCUAAGGUCUGUGGGGACACACAAAAGGGUGGCUGCACCAAGGUCAAACAUGGCCUGACACAAAAAUGCUAUUUUUGAACUUGUGGAAGUGCCCUGAGGUUCCCUGGGAUGAUGAAUAAAAGGAAAACACGAAGCAUUUAAUAUUAGUCAUCUUAGUAUGCUUUUAUUGAUAAACAUUUGCAUGAAUAGUGUUAUCAAUAGCACCAUCUACUGUCUCCAGGACAGCAGGACACAAGCUCUGCAUUGUAACAGUGGAGUUGAUGAGUGAAAUGAGAAGGAGGCAGAAAAAGAGGCUCAUCCUGCUCCUCUCCUGCCAACAGCAGCAGUGCCAGAGAGCUGCUGCAUCUACCUGCGCCGGUGACACAGGCUGGGAGCCAGUGUGGCAAAUCUCUGAGAGUGGUUUGGAGCCCUGUUUUCAAGCUGCUGUGGGCCUCUCUUCAUGAGUGUUGCCAAAGCAUAGCAUCCAAAUUGUCAACAACAAACACCAGGAAUAUUAUUUCCUCCAGUGCUUUGAUUAUUCUUCUCUGCUUGCCCUUGACAGUCUUGAAGUCCCUUCUGGGGGAAGUUGCUAUCCUUGGCUCAAUUUCUUUGAGAGGUCAUAGGCCAGAGAGCAACAGAAGGCUUCAGUCAAGACAAAAUAAUAUUUGGGGUAGUUCUUAUUCACAGUAUUUAAGCCAUAACUGCCUUCUCGGUCUGACACCAUCAGAAACAGAGGUAAAAGCCCAAAGGCCCUGUGAACUGGGACACUGUACUCGAUGUGGGGCCUCACAAGGGCAGACAGAGUAGAGGACAAUCCCCUCCCUCGGCCUGCUGGCCACCCCUCUGGUGAUGCAGCCCAGGACACUAUUGGC